GUCUGAUUCUCUUUGUGCCUGGCAAAGAAAAACAGUAGAGAGGAAGGGAAUUGGUGUCUGUUCAGUAUGGCAGAGUGCGAGAGGUAGGGAAAAUCAGAAUUAAGCAGAUGUAACUGAGGAAUCAGGUUUUUAAGAAUAUAGCCAACGACCUUGGGAUAGCUCUCCUAUUGAACCUCCUUUUGACAAAACCAGAGUGACUCAAUCUUACUCACAUCAUGAGAUCUCCUCCUUUGAAAAGUCAGGCCUCUGCCAUUAAUGCUUAACACCUCCCUCCUUGUCUCUGGCAUGAACACUCUCACCAUCGUAACCCUGGAGUCCUGCAAUAUGUUGCCUCAGAGAUAAGCCUCUCCUCAGGGAAUCGUAGAAACAAGGGUGGAAAGCACUUCAAGAGGUAACCUAACCCCUGCUGUUCCCUCAGGCAGGGGAAGGCAGAUUGCAUAUAUGGACUGGGUGGGCUCUGCAUGGGCAGGGUUUGUUCACUGGGGAGCUGUUAAAUAGCAUGUUGGGAGAACUGUGAGGUAAUGAGAACAGCUUUGUGUUCACGUGGUAUUGGAAACCACCAGGUAGAAAUGAGGUGCUUUCUGGUGACAGUGGAGAGGAAAUAAUAUAAGAACACGAGUAAGAGUGCAGCAGGAUCGCCUGUCAUCGCCUGUGGUGGGGGUGGAGAAACCUGGUCCUUCCAUGCCACCUAGUGUAGGAAGCUGAGCAGCAGCCCUGCGAGGAUGGGCUCUGCAAGGUGGGGUCGUUAAGCAGGAAAUAACGGAGACCUGAAGCCUGCCACAAAAUGAGCCACCUCUGCCCUACAGGCAAACCCCUACUCAGUAGCUUGAUUUGAAAUUCUUCAUUUUUGGAAAUUAAAACUGAACUGUGGCUAAAAGGAUAUAGUGCCUGGUUUAGUGUUCUUUCUUUUUAUUUUCCUUCCAGGAUAGGAUAAAUUUUUCAUUUUUUGGUUGAUUCGUGUGGAAAAGUUAAGUUAUGGUCUUUAUAGCAGUUGCUCUAGAACACAGCAAUGGAUAAAAAUGGCCCAGAGUUACGGUGUGCAGUUUAAUUGCUAAACAGUGCUUCAGAUGGGUAGUUAGGAAUAAUCCUCUCUGUAACCAGCUAAACCAAGGACCCUUGAUCUUACUCUGAAACCUUUUGUGCUAGUUUCUCUUUGAGAAAGAAGAGCAGAUGAGAUCCAAAAUAAUUCUGAUAGCUAUUCUUAUGUUGGAAAAAAAUCUAUAUCAUGUCAAUAGACUCUUUCAAAACUACUUCUUAACAGAUUGCAGUGUCAGGCUGGUAUGUCACCAAUUCUGGAAUAACCAGAUAGCUAUAUAUAUUUCUCCCAGAACACCCAUGGACAAGGGCACCUGCAUGCUGUCAGAUUGUUGCAUGCAUAAGAUAUGAACUGUGUUUAUAAGCAGCUUCUGAGAGUAGCACCACACAAGUCGUAAUUGUUACUUUAGUAAGAGGGG
RNAcentral lists this long non-coding RNA (1454 nucleotides) under Gallus gallus (chicken). RNAcentral's name for it is "lncRNA (ENSGALG00010006554.1)". Lineage: Eukaryota; Metazoa; Chordata; Aves; Galliformes; Phasianidae. The record is from RNAcentral.